GACGAACGCUGGCGGCGUGCUUAACACAUGCAAGUCGAACGAUGAAGAAAAGAAUCGCAGCUUCGGCAGAAAUUCAUUUCGGAUUAGUGGCAGACGGGUGAGUAACGCGUGAGCAACCUACCUCUUACAAAGGGAUAGCCUCGGGAAACCGGGAUUAAUACCAUAUAACAUUGCGACGAAGCAUUUCGAUGCAAUCAAAGCUAUGGCGGUAAGAGAUGGGCUCGCGUCCCAUUAACCGGAUGGUGAGGUAACGGCUCACCAUAGUGACGAUGGGUAACCGGCCUGAGAGGGUGAACGGUCACACUGGAACUGAGACACGGUCCAGACUCCUACGGGAGGCAGCAGUGGGGAAUAUUGCACAAUGGAGGGAACUCUGAUGCAGCGACGCCGCGUGAGUGAUGAAGGAAUUCGUUUCGUAAAACUCUGUUCUAUGGGAAGAAAAGGACUGUACCAUAGGAGAAAGCUCCGGCUAAAUACGUG
Molecule: ribosomal RNA, 480 nt
Filed under: uncultured bacterium
Lineage: Bacteria
Description: partial 16S ribosomal RNA
Rfam family: Bacterial small subunit ribosomal RNA
Source: RNAcentral